CAUGGGCGAAGCCCUGGAUGCAGCGACGCCGCGUGAGGGAUGACGGCCUUCGGGUUGUAAACCUCUUUCAGCAGGGAAGAAGCGAAAGUGACGGUACCUGCAGAAGAAGCGCCGGCUAACUACGUGCCAGCAGCCGCGGUAAUACGUAGGGCGCAAGCGUUGUCCGGAAUUAUUGGGCGUAAAGAGCUCGUAGGCGGCUUGUCACGUCGGAUGUGAAAGCCCGAGGCUUAACCUCGGGUCUGCAUUCGAUACGGGCUAGCUAGAGUGUGGUAGGGGAGAUCGGAAUUCCUGGUGUAGCGGUGAAAUGCGCAGAUAUCAGGAGGAACACCGGUGGCGAAGGCGGAUCUCUGGGCCAUUACUGACGCUGAGGAGCGAAAGCGUGGGGAGCGAACAGGAUUAGAUACCCUGGUAGUCCACGCCGUAAACGUUGGGAACUAGGUGUUGGCGACAUUCCACGUCGUCGGUGCCGCAGCUAACGCAUUAAGUUCCCCGCCUGGGGAGUACGGCCGCAAGGCUAAAACUCAAAGGAAUUGACGGGGGCCCGCACAAGCAGCGGAGCAUGUGGCUUAAUUCGACGCAACGCGAAGAACCUUACCAAGGCUUGACAUAUACCGGAAAGCAUUAGAGAUAGU
This 632-nucleotide ribosomal RNA is filed under the name Streptomyces sp. OSM6. RNAcentral describes it as "bacterial SSU rRNA". It matches the Rfam family "Bacterial small subunit ribosomal RNA", at positions 370 to 1010 of the family's 1533-position model. Lineage: Bacteria; Bacillati; Actinomycetota; Actinomycetes; Kitasatosporales; Streptomycetaceae. The record is from RNAcentral.